This 395-nucleotide ribosomal RNA is filed under the name uncultured bacterium. RNAcentral describes it as "bacterial SSU rRNA". It matches the Rfam family "Bacterial small subunit ribosomal RNA", at positions 64 to 507 of the family's 1533-position model. The record is from RNAcentral.
GAGCGCCCAGCAAUGGGAGCGGCGGACGGGUGAAUAACGCGUGGGAAUAUGCCCUUUGGUUCGGAACAACUCAGGGAAACUUGAGCUAAUACCGGAUGAGCCAGUAAUGGGAAAGAUUUAUCGCCAAAGGAUUAGCCCGCGUCCGAUUAGCUAGUUGGUGGGGUAAUGGCCUACCAAGGCGACGAUCGGUAGCUGGUCUGAGAGGACGACCAGCCACACUGGGACUGAGACACGGCCCAGACUCCUACGGGAGGCAGCAGUGGGGAAUCUUGGACAAUGGGGGAAACCCUGAUCCAGCCAUGCCGCGUGAGUGAUGAAGGCCCUAGGGUUGUAAAACUCUUUCGGCGGGGACGAUAAUGACGGUACCCGCAGAAGAAGCUCCGGCUAACUUCGUG